AAGUCGUAACAAGGUUUCCGUAGGUGAACCUGCGGAAGGAUCAUUACAAAUCUUGAUAAUCCACGAUCGUGAGGAUAUAUAGAGGGUCAUCUCUGUAUUCUCACAUCGAAACCUAUAUUUAACUUACCUAUUGACACUUGUAUUUUACAAACAAACAACCCAAGAACACCUUUUAACAAUGGAUCUCUUGGCUCUU
Molecule: unclassified non-coding RNA, 196 nt
Filed under: Rozellomycota sp.
Lineage: Eukaryota; Fungi; Rozellomycota
Description: Cryptomycota sp. partial contains small subunit ribosomal RNA, internal transcribed spacer 1, and 5.8S ribosomal RNA
Rfam family: Eukaryotic small subunit ribosomal RNA (bases 1-46)
Source: RNAcentral